CAGAGCCUGGAUUCAAAUCCAAGUCUUACUAAUGCAGGGCUUUCAUCGUGGGCACUCUUGACCUGUUGGACCAGACAUUUGCUGAGCCCCUGUGAAGUACAAGACCCUGGUCUUAGCCUCUGAGGAUAAAACAAGGAACAAACCAAAAAUUCAGUGCUCACAGAGGUGACAUGUCACAGACAAUAAAGGAA
RNAcentral lists this long non-coding RNA (191 nucleotides) under Mustela putorius furo (domestic ferret). RNAcentral's name for it is "lncRNA (ENSMPUG00000025296.1)". The record is from RNAcentral. Lineage: Eukaryota; Metazoa; Chordata; Mammalia; Carnivora; Mustelidae.